AUUGAACGCUGGCGGCAGGCCUAACACAUGCAAGUCGAGCGGAUGAAGGGAGCUUGCUCCUGGAUUCAGCGGCGGACGGGUGAGUAAUGCCUAGGAAUCUGCCUGGUAGCGGGGGAUAACGUCCUGAAACGGGCGCUAAUACCGCAUACGUCCUGAGGGAGAAAGUGGGGGAUCUUCGGACCUCACGCUAUCAGAUGAGCCUAGGUCGGAUUAGCUAGUUGGUGGGGUAAAGGCCUACCAAGGCGACGAUCCGUAACUGGUCUGAGAGGAUGAUCAGUCACACUGGAACUGAGACACGGUCCAGACUCCUACGGGAGGCAGCAGUGGGGAAUAUUGGACAAUGGGCGCAAGCCUGAUCCAGCCAUGCCGCGUGUGUGAAGAAGGCCUUCGGAUUGUAAAGCACUUUUAGUUGGGAGGAAGAGCAGUAAGUUAAUACCUUGCUGUUUUGACGUUACCAACAGAAUAAGCACCGGCUAACUUCGUG
This 484-nucleotide ribosomal RNA is filed under the name uncultured bacterium. RNAcentral describes it as "partial 16S ribosomal RNA". It matches the Rfam family "Bacterial small subunit ribosomal RNA", at positions 30 to 507 of the family's 1533-position model. The record is from RNAcentral.